GGUUUGGUUAGAUGUCAUAGAGGAAGAUUACACACUCCAUGCAGCAUCAGGUUACCAGAAAGCUGAGAAUGGCAGUCUUGCCCCCUCAUCUCCUUGCAGCUGGCUCUGCUUCGCUUAAUUCUGUAGUCCCUCCAUGACCAUUGUGCCUGGCUCAUCUUCUUCAGCAGAACUGUGCGAUGUGACACUUACCCGGGAUGAGCUGAGGCUUGCCCUUCAGCUGUGACCCACACCUACAGAUACCUGCAGUGAGAUGACUGCUGGUGGAAUGAUGGGAGAUAAGUCAAUGUUUUUUUUUUUCAUGUUCUCAGGAUAAUUUUAUCUAUGAUGAUAGCUAUUAUAGUUAUCUGUGAAUAAAAUUGAUGUCAAUUUUAGAUUGGGACUAUAAUGAUAGUCAUGCCAACAAGUAUUUAAUUGCCUGACUAUGUCAUUGACUUACAGACAAAGUAACUUUUUGGCAGCUCCCACAUGAUCCAAAACCAGAUUGCUUUCUGACCUUCAAAAAUUAUACAAUACUAAUAAAAAUAUUUAUAAUCUUUAAUGAGAGUUUGUGUUAUCAGAAGUAAUUUAAAAUUCAUUUUUAGGCCCUUUAUGCAUUUUGAAUUUUGUAAUUAUUAUGCAUGCUUUAAGUUGAUAAGGGAUCAACUUAUAUUUCUCUUGCUUAGAACAGUUUUGUACUUGUCAAUUUUCUCUAAUGUGUAUUCCCUUCCUUUGUGAAUAUACAGAUAUAACUAGCACAUUUGUAUAUGGAUUAAAGUUGUACUGAUCAGUUUACCCAGUCCAGUAAGAAUUAAAGAAGCAGCAUGUAGAGCCUGAGUGACAAAACUCACAGGUGCUGUGACCUAUUCUGAAAUUAGUGCUGUUGAUGAGAAAUAUUUAGGAGGUCUGCUAUCUAUGGUAUGGUUGCAAGGGGGAAAUAUGAGUAAUGAUGGCCCCUUUACAAGAAGGCCAGACUUUUAUGCAUUUAAAACUCCCGGCGUAAGAAGUGCACAUUUGGCCAUGAACACUGAAGCAUGGUUUCAUUAACUUGGUUAUGUUAAUAAUCAUUUGACUAACCUUGAAUGUUGUUAGCUAAAGCACGUGUUGUUACUGACCUGAAAGGAGGGGGGUGGGGGGGGUUUAGAUUACAGUGAUUAUUUUAUAGAAUGAUCUCGAGAUAUUGAAAAUAUUUUUAUUACUAUUCUGUCUUCUGCUGUUUUCUUUCAGCUGAGAUCAUACUAAACUUAGGGAUACAACUGUAACCAGUGAUUUAGACCCUCUGUGUAUUUACAAGCGCUGUAAUAAUACUCUGUGGUGUAGUAGCCUGGGCAUGGAUAUAUGUUCUUUUGUGUCCAUCCACCACAGAAACAGUUCUUGUGCUUAAGGGCACAGCAACUGUAUCCACUGUAGGGAACCUAGCCAAAAAAUUGCAUAUUUUACAAAUGGGUUAUAGUAGCCUUACCUGUUUGUUUUGUUUUGUUGUAGUUGUUUUGACUGUUAAUCUUGCCUUACUUUUUUUCUUUUCCUGUUCUGACUCAGCUAAUAUAGGAUUAUGAAGAAUGUAUCGCUGAAGGAUUAAUUUUAUUUGUCAAAUGCAAAACAUUUUUUUUUUUAUUAUUACUCUUGGAUCAGAGAUAUUUUGCAGUAUAAACAAGAGCAUGACAAAAUCUGGUAGGUUGGUGCAGAGUUGUAGGGAGGAUAGAAUCUGGAUGACUUGACAGAAUCUACACUUAACCCUUCCCUUCUUUUCCUGAGUGCAAAUUAAUACUUUACCAGCCUGCCAGAAGAGGCCAUAAGUUAUGGGCAGAAAUCUGGAGCAAAGGUCUUUUAUUAUGUGUUUUUAGAAGAAGAAGAAGAAAAAAAAUCCUCCCAAACCUAAAGGAACAAGUUCAACUAUUAUGAGAAAUGAAGAAAUUAUAAAGGAGUCAGAACAGAGCUGCCCCUGCUUCAUCUUAGGCUAUAACACAAACUAUAAAACUGUGACAGGGAUUAUAAGGAAAUCUGAUUUUCCUCGUUAUCUGGUUGAUCAAAAGUAGUAUCUGAUUACUACAAAUUUGUUGUGGGGUCCUAGUGGGAAUAUUCUUCAUUUUCUGAAUGGUGUAGAAAAAUUAGAUCUCAAUACACCAAAAUAUUUGAAUAAACAGGUUGGCUUAAUGGUUUAGGCUGAAGACAUAUUUAGAACCUUUGCUGGACUGGAAUAGAUGCCUCAUUCAAAGCACAAAAUGUGCUAUUAGGAGGUACAGGUAAUUCAAUGAAAACUGGGUUGUAAUUCUGUCAAUCAGCAAAGUGGGUUGCUAAGUGGUGGUAGAGGAAGUAAGGCUGCUUCUAGGUGAAAUGCCUAUUGUUCUUGGUUGUUGCUCUUGGGGUGUUUGAGUAACUUUAUUGAUGAUCACUUCCAUGGCAUGUAGCCAUAGCCAUAUGGAAGCAUUUAAUUGACUGAAAAGGUGUUUUAACAUAUCACCUUAGACCCAUAUUAAAAAUUCAUCAUUUGGGUUUCAUGCUCUACUGAGAAAAAGCAUAAAGAUGUGGUGUCGGUUAAAGGUGUUGUCUUCAGAUUCCUUUCUGUGCUUCAAGGUACGACCAAAGGCUUCCAUCAGGU
Long non-coding RNA from Oxyura jamaicensis (ruddy duck), 2575 nucleotides. RefSeq lists it as uncharacterized. The record is from RefSeq and is a predicted model, not a curated record. The transcript is spliced from 2 exons. Lineage: Eukaryota; Metazoa; Chordata; Aves; Anseriformes; Anatidae.